GAUGAAGAACGUAGCGAAAUGCGAUACUUGGUGUGAAUUGCAGAAUCCCGUGAACCAUCGAGUCUUUGAACGCAAGUUGCGCCCGAAGCCAUUAGGCCGAGGGCACGCCUGCCUGGGCGUCACACGUCGUUGCCCCCCCAUCUACUCCUUCGGGAUUGCGGGGGGCGGAUGAUGGCCUCCCGUGCGCCUUGUCGCGCGGUUGGCAUAAAUACCAAGUCCUCGGCGACGCACGCCACGACAAUCGGUGGUUGCGAAACCUCGGUUGCCUGUCGUGUGCGGUCGUCGCGCAUCGAGGGCUCGAAAAAAUUGCCGGGCUCCGGCUCGACUUUCAACGCGACCCCAGGUCAGGCGGGGUUACCCGCUGAAUUUAAGCAUAUCAAUAAGCGGAGGA
Molecule: unclassified non-coding RNA, 391 nt
Filed under: soil metagenome
Description: partial contains 5.8S ribosomal RNA, internal transcribed spacer 2, and large subunit ribosomal RNA
Rfam family: 5.8S ribosomal RNA (bases 1-122)
Source: RNAcentral